GGCCUUGUAGCUGAGGGGAUUAGCACCUGACUCUUAAUCAGGGGACCUUGGUUCGAUUCCAAGUAGGGCCAC
RNAcentral lists this transfer RNA (72 nucleotides) under Mycobacterium phage Phabba. RNAcentral's name for it is "tRNA-Lys". It matches the Rfam family "tRNA". Rfam says of the family: Transfer RNA (tRNA) molecules are approximately 80 nucleotides in length. Their secondary structure includes four short double-helical elements and three loops (D, anti-codon, and T loops). Further hydrogen bonds mediate the characteristic L-shaped molecular structure. tRNAs have two regions of fundamental functional importance: the anti-codon, which is responsible for specific mRNA codon recognition, and the 3' end, to which the tRNAs corresponding amino acid is attached (by aminoacyl-tRNA synthetases). tRNAs cope with the degeneracy of the genetic code in two manners: having more than one tRNA (with a specific anti-codon) for a particular amino acid; and 'wobble' base-pairing, i.e. permitting non-standard base-pairing at the 3rd anti-codon position. Lineage: Duplodnaviria; Heunggongvirae; Uroviricota; Caudoviricetes. The record is from RNAcentral.